Molecule: non-coding RNA, 26 nt
Filed under: Mus musculus (house mouse)
Lineage: Eukaryota; Metazoa; Chordata; Mammalia; Rodentia; Muridae
Source: RNAcentral
UGCAGUAAAUCUUUUAGAAGUGGCUG